RNAcentral lists this ribosomal RNA (719 nucleotides) under uncultured Bacillota bacterium. Its description in RNAcentral is "bacterial SSU rRNA". It matches the Rfam family "Bacterial small subunit ribosomal RNA", at positions 11 to 746 of the family's 1533-position model. The record is from RNAcentral. Lineage: Bacteria; Bacillati; Bacillota.
GUUUGAUCCUGGCUCAGGACGAACGCUGGCGGCGUGCUUAACACAUGCAAGUCGAGCGGGGUUUAUCGGAUUAGCUUGCUAAACUGAUAAACCUAGCGGCGGACGGGUGAGUAACGCGUGAGCAAUCUGCCUCAUACAGGGGGAUAACAGGUGGAAACACCUGCUAAUACCGCAUAAGGCUCCACUACCGCAUGGUAGAGAAGUCAAAGGGAUUACCGGUAUGAGAUGAGCUCGCGUCCCAUUAGCUAGUUGGUAGGGUAAAGGCCUACCAAGGCGACGAUGGGUAGCCGACCUGAGAGGGUGAUCGGCCACACUGGGACUGAGACACGGCCCAGACUCCUACGGGAGGCAGCAGUGGGGAAUAUUGCACAAUGGAGGGAACUCUGAUGCAGCAACGCCGCGUGAGUGAAGAAGGUUUUCGGAUCGUAAAACUCUGUCAUUGGGGAAGAAUAAAUGACGGUACCCAAUGAGGAAGCCCCGGCUAACUACGUGCCAGCAGCCGCGGUAAUACGUAGGGGGCGAGCGUUGUCCGGAAUUACUGGGCGUAAAGGGUACGUAGGCGGCUAUAUAAGUCAGGUGUGAAAUACCAGUGCUUAACACUGGAAUUGCAUUUGAACUGUGUAGCUUGAGUGCAGAGAGGAAAGUGGAAUCUAGUGUAGCGGUGAGAUGCGUAGAGAUAGAGACACAGUGCGAGCGACUUUCUGUACKGUAACUGACGC